AACGAACGCUGGCGGCAUGCCUAAUACAUGCAAGUCGAACGAGACCUUUGGGUCUAGUGGCGCACGGGUGCGUAACGCGUGGGAAUCUGCCCUUGGGUUCGGAAUAACAGUGAGAAAUUGCUGCUAAUACCGGAUGAUGUCUUCGGACCAAAGAUUUAUCGCCCAGGGAUGAGCCCGCGUAGGAUUAGCUAGUUGGUGGGGUAAUGGCCUACCAAGGCGACGAUCCUUAGCUGGUCUGAGAGGAUGAUCAGCCACACUGGGACUGAGACACGGCCCAGACUCCUACGGGAGGCAGCAGUGGGGAAUAUUGGACAAUGGGCGCAAGCCUGAUCCAGCAAUGCCGCGUGAGUGAUGAAGGCCUUAGGGUUGUAAAGCUCUUUUACCAGGGAUGAUAAUGACAGUACCUGGAGAAUAAGCUCCGGCUAACUCCGUG
Molecule: ribosomal RNA, 433 nt
Filed under: uncultured bacterium
Lineage: Bacteria
Description: partial 16S ribosomal RNA
Rfam family: Bacterial small subunit ribosomal RNA
Source: RNAcentral